This 1003-nucleotide ribosomal RNA is filed under the name Klebsiella pneumoniae. RNAcentral's name for it is "partial 23S ribosomal RNA". It matches the Rfam family "Bacterial large subunit ribosomal RNA", at positions 762 to 1765 of the family's 2925-position model. Lineage: Bacteria; Pseudomonadati; Pseudomonadota; Gammaproteobacteria; Enterobacterales; Enterobacteriaceae. The record is from RNAcentral.
CUAACUGGAGGACCGAACCGACUAAUGUUGAAAAAUUAGCGGAUGACUUGUGGCUGGGGGUGAAAGGCCAAUCAAACCGGGAGAUAGCUGGUUCUCCCCGAAAGCUAUUUAGGUAGCGCCUCGUGAACUCAUCUUCGGGGGUAGAGCACUGUUUCGGCUAGGGGGUCAUCCCGACUUACCAACCCGAUGCAAACUACGAAUACCGAAGAAUGUUAUCACGGGAGACACACGGCGGGUGCUAACGUCCGUCGUGAAGAGGGAAACAACCCAGACCGCCAGCUAAGGUCCCAAAGUCAUGGUUAAGUGGGAAACGAUGUGGGAAGGCACAGACAGCCAGGAUGUUGGCUUAGAAGCAGCCAUCAUUUAAAGAAAGCGUAAUAGCUCACUGGUCGAGUCGGCCUGCGCGGAAGAUGUAACGGGGCUAAACCAUGCACCGAAGCUGCGGCAGCGACACUAUGUGUUGUUGGGUAGGGGAGCGUUCUGUAAGCCUGCGAAGGUGUGCUGUGAGGCAUGCUGGAGGUAUCAGAAGUGCGAAUGCUGACAUAAGUAACGAUAAAGCGGGUGAAAAGCCCGCUCGCCGGAAGACCAAGGGUUCCUGUCCAACGUUAAUCGGGGCAGGGUGAGUCGACCCCUAAGGCGAGGCCGAAAGGCGUAGUCGAUGGGAAACAGGUUAAUAUUCCUGUACUUGGUGUUACUGCGAAGGGGGGACGGAGAAGGCUAUGUUAGCCGGGCGACGGUUGUCCCGGUUUAAGCAUGUAGGCUGAUUGUCCAGGCAAAUCCGGAUAAUCAAGGCUGAGGUGUGAUGACGAGGCACUACGGUGCUGAAGUAACAAAUGCCCUGCUUCCAGGAAAAGCCUCUAAGCAUCAGGUAACAUUAAAUCGUACCCCAAACCGACACAGGUGGUCAGGUAGAGAAUACCAAGGCGCUUGAGAGAACUCGGGUGAAGGAACUAGGCAAAAUGGUGCCGUAACUUCGGGAGAAGGCACGCUGGUGUGUAGGUGA